This 233-nucleotide ribosomal RNA is filed under the name uncultured bacterium. Its description in RNAcentral is "partial 16S ribosomal RNA". It matches the Rfam family "Bacterial small subunit ribosomal RNA", at positions 15 to 244 of the family's 1533-position model. The record is from RNAcentral.
GAUCAUGGCUCAGGAUGAACGCUGGCGACAGGCUUAACACAUGCAAGUCGAGGGGCAUCAUGAGGUAGCAAUACCUUGAUGGCGACCGGCGCACGGGUGAGUAACGCGUAUGCAACCUGCCCGAUACCGGGGUAUAGCCCAUGGAAACGUGGAUUAACACCCCAUAGUACUUUUAUCCUGCCUGGGAUGGGAGUCAAAUGUUCAAGGUAUCGGAUGGGCAUGCGUCCUAUUAG